UACGAAGGGGGCUAGCGUUGUUCGGAAUUACUGGGCGUAAAGCGUGUGUAGGCGGCUUCGAUAGUUAGGCGUGAAAGCCCCGGGCUUAACCCGGGAACUGCGCUUAAUACUGUGAAGCUUGAAGAUGGUAGAGGACAGUGGAAUUCCCAGUGUAGAGGUGAAAUUCGUAGAUAUUGGGAAGAACAUCGAUGGCGAAGGCAACUGUCUGGGCCAUUCUUGACGCUGAAACACGAAAGCGUGGGGAGCAAACAGG
RNAcentral lists this ribosomal RNA (253 nucleotides) under uncultured bacterium. RNAcentral describes it as "partial 16S ribosomal RNA". It matches the Rfam family "Bacterial small subunit ribosomal RNA", at positions 524 to 776 of the family's 1533-position model. The record is from RNAcentral.